GAUGAACGCUGACAGAAUGCUUAACACAUGCAAGUCGAUUCGAUUUACCUUCGGGUAUUGAGGAUGGCGGACGGGUGAGUAACGCGUAAGGAACUUGCCUCUUGGUCUGGGACAACUGUUGGAAACGACAGCUAAUACCGGAUAUUAUGAGAUUCUCGCAUGGGAAACUUAUGAAAGCUAUAUGCGCCAAGAGAGAGCCUUGCGUUCCAUUAGCUAGUUGGUGGGGUAACGGCCCACCAAGGCGACGAUGGAUAGCCGGCCUGAGAGGGUGAACGGCCACAAGGGGACUGAGACACGGCCCUUACUCCUACGGGAGGCAGCAGUGGGGAAUAUUGGACAAUGGGCCACAAGCCUGAUCCAGCAAUUCUGUGUGCACGAUGAAGGUCUUCGGAUUGUAAAGUGCUUUCAGUUGGGAAGAAGAAAGUGACGGUACCAACAGAAGAAGCGACGGCUAAAUACGUGCCAGCAGCCGCGGUAAUACGUAUGUCGCAAGCGUUAUCCGGAUUUAUUGGGCGUAAAGCGCGUCUAGGCGGAAAAAUAAGUCUGAUGUUAAAAUGCGGGGCUCAACUCCGUAUUGCGUUGGAAACUGNUUUUCUAGAGUACUGGAGAGGUGGGCGGAACUACAAGUGUAGAGGUGAAAUUCGUAGAUAUUUGUAGGAAUGCCGAUGGAGAAGUCAGCUCACUGG
This 686-nucleotide ribosomal RNA is filed under the name uncultured prokaryote. RNAcentral describes it as "bacterial SSU rRNA". It matches the Rfam family "Bacterial small subunit ribosomal RNA", at positions 28 to 732 of the family's 1533-position model. The record is from RNAcentral.